AGAACGAACGCUGGCGGCGUGGAUAAGACAUGCAAGUCGAACGGAGAUUCUUUAGAGCUUGCUUUAAAGGGUCUUAGUGGCGAACGGGUGAGUAACACGUGAGUUACCUGCCCCGAAGUGGGAGAUAGCCCGGAGAAAUUCGGAUUAAUACCCCAUGUGAUCGUAAGAUUAAAGGCGGCGCAAGCUGUCGCUUCGGGAGUGGGCUCGCGGCCUAUCGACGCGUAGGUUGGGACCGGGGGUUAACCGGCCCCACCGAAGGCGAGUAGGACGGGUAGCUGAGUCUAGAGAGGAUGAUCAGUCACACGUGACUGAGACGACGG
This 320-nucleotide ribosomal RNA is filed under the name uncultured soil bacterium. RNAcentral describes it as "bacterial SSU rRNA". It matches the Rfam family "Bacterial small subunit ribosomal RNA", at positions 26 to 329 of the family's 1533-position model. The record is from RNAcentral.